AAAAUCUAAUUUCUUAAAAUUAUAUAUACUUAAAUAAUUUCAUAUUAUUAAUACUAAUAUUUAAUAUUCAAAUUCAUAACUCAUAUACACACAAAUAUCAUCUUUUAUUAUACUCUUAAAUAAAAUUCUCCAACUUACAAACAAAAAUAUUAUUUUAACUUACCUUUUUCGCAUAUAUAUCUAAACUUUUAAACACCUAACACUUACAAAAAUACAAACAUUCA
This 224-nucleotide unclassified non-coding RNA is filed under the name Hevea brasiliensis (rubber tree). Lineage: Eukaryota; Viridiplantae; Streptophyta; Magnoliopsida; Malpighiales; Euphorbiaceae. The record is from RNAcentral.